AUGGAGCUCCGGGCGCUGCUCUGCUGGGCUUCGUUGGCUGCAGCUUUGGAAGAGACCCUGCUGAACACAAAAUUGGAAACUGCGGAUCUGAAGUGGGUGACGUUCCCUCAGGUGGACGGGCAGUGGGAGGAACUGAGCGGCCUGGAUGAGGAACAGCACAGCGUGCGCACCUACGAGGUGUGUGACGUGCAGCGCGCCCCGGGCCAGGCCCACUGGCUUCGCACGGGUUGGGUCCCGCGGCGGGGCGCCGUCCACGUGUACGCCACGCUGCGCUUCACCAUGCUCGAGUGCCUGUCCCUGCCUCGGGCUGGGCGCUCCUGCAAGGAGACCUUCACCGUCUUCUACUAUGAGAGCGAUGCGGACACGGCCACGGCCCUCACACCAGCUUGGAUGGAGAACCCCUACAUCAAGGUGGACACGGUGGCCGCAGAGCAUCUCACCCGGAAGCGCCCUGGGGCUGAGGCCACGGGGAAGGUGAAUGUCAAGACGCUGCGUCUGGGACCACUCAGCAAGGCCGGCUUCUACCUGGCCUUCCAGGACCAGGGCGCCUGCAUGGCCCUGCUGUCCCUGCACCUCUUCUACAAAAAGUGCGCCCAGCUGACUGUGAACCUGACCCGCUUCCCGGAGACCGUGCCUCGGGAGCUGGUCGUGCCCGUGGCCGGUAGCUGCGUGGUGGAUGCCAUCCCCGCCCCUGGCCCCAGCCCCAGCCUCUACUGCCGUGAGGAUGGCCAGUGGGCCGAACAGCCGGUCACAGGCUGCAGCUGUGCUCCGGGGUUCGAGGCAGCCGAGGGGAACACCAAGUGCCGAGGGCGCCGAGGGUCCCAGCAGCGUGCGGUUCCUGAAGACGUCAGAAAACCGGGCAGAGCUGCGGGGGCUGAAGCGAGGAGCCAGCUACCUGGUGCAGGUACGGGCGCGCUCUGA
RNAcentral lists this small RNA (921 nucleotides) under Pongo abelii (Sumatran orangutan). Its description in RNAcentral is "processed transcript". The record is from RNAcentral. Lineage: Eukaryota; Metazoa; Chordata; Mammalia; Primates; Hominidae.